This 69-nucleotide transfer RNA is filed under the name Podarcis lilfordi (Lilford's wall lizard). RNAcentral's name for it is "tRNA.Thr". The stretch from base 3 to 61 matches the Rfam family "tRNA", at positions 8 to 63 of the family's 71-position model. Rfam says of the family: Transfer RNA (tRNA) molecules are approximately 80 nucleotides in length. The record is from RNAcentral. Lineage: Eukaryota; Metazoa; Chordata; Lepidosauria; Squamata; Lacertidae.
GAUAGCUCAGUUGGUUAGAGCAUGGCGCUGGUAAUGCCCAGGUUGCAGGUUUGAUCCCUGUAUGGGACA